UACGGAGGGUGCAAGCGUUAUCCGGAUUCACUGGGUGUAAAGGGUGCGUAGGUGGGCAGGUAAGUCAGUGGUGAAAUCUUUGGGCUUAACCCGAAAACUGCCAUUGAUACUAUUUGUCUUGAAUAUUGUGGAGGUCAGCGGAAUAUGUCAUGUAGCGGUGAAAUGCUUAGAUAUGACAUAGAACACCAAUUGCGAAGGCAGCUGGCUACACAUAUAUUGACACUGAUGCACGAAAGCGUGGGGAUCAAACAGG
RNAcentral lists this ribosomal RNA (253 nucleotides) under uncultured bacterium. RNAcentral's name for it is "partial 16S ribosomal RNA". It matches the Rfam family "Bacterial small subunit ribosomal RNA", at positions 524 to 776 of the family's 1533-position model. The record is from RNAcentral.